UGGCCGCGGUAUUUUGACCGUGCGAAGGUAGCAUAAUCAUUAGUCUGUUAAAUGUAGUCUGGAAUGAAGGGUUUGACGGGGAGUAGCUUUCUUAUUUUUAUUCUUGAAUUUGAAUUAUUAGUAAAAAUGCUAAUAUUUUUUAGGGGGACGAGAAGACCCUAUAGAGCUUUAUAAUAUAAUGCUUUUUUGUGGUGAAGUUUAGCAUGAUUUAUUUUGUUGGGGCGACAACAGGUAGAAAACAUCUGUAUAUUUGUCUUUUUAAUAGGUUAUAUGAUCCAUUAUUAGUGAUAAAAGACUAAGUUACCUUAGGGAUAACAGCGUAAUUUUGUUAUAGAGUUCAUAUCGAUAACAAAGAUUGCGACCUCGAUGUUGGAUUAGAAUUCCUUUUUUAUGGCGCAGGAGUUUUUAAAGGUAGUCUGUUCGACUAUUUAAUUUCUACA
This 440-nucleotide ribosomal RNA is filed under the name Rhysida sp. CES07231. RNAcentral describes it as "partial 16S ribosomal RNA". It matches the Rfam family "Bacterial large subunit ribosomal RNA", at positions 1928 to 2600 of the family's 2925-position model. The record is from RNAcentral. Lineage: Eukaryota; Metazoa; Arthropoda; Chilopoda; Scolopendromorpha; Scolopendridae.